Molecule: ribosomal RNA, 446 nt
Filed under: uncultured bacterium
Lineage: Bacteria
Description: partial 16S ribosomal RNA
Rfam family: Bacterial small subunit ribosomal RNA
Source: RNAcentral
CCUACGGUGAGCAGCAGUCGAGAAUCAUUCACAAUGGGGGAAACCCUGAUGGUGCGACGCCGCGUGGGGGAAUGAAGGUCUUCGGAUUGUAAACCCCUGUCAUGUGGGAGCAAAUUAAAAAGAUAGUACCACAAGAGGAAGAGACGGCUAACUCUGUGCCAGCAGCCGCGGUAAUACAGAGGUCUCAAGCGUUGUUCGGAAUCACUGGGCGUAAAGCGUACGUAGGUUGUUUCGUAAGUCGUGUGUGAAAGGCGCGGGCUCAACCCGCGGACGGCACAUGAUACUGCGAGACUAGAGUAAUGGAGGGGGAACCGGAAUUCUCGGUGUAGCAGUGAAAUGCGUAGAUAUCGAGAGGAACACUCGUGGCGAAGGCGGGUUCCUGGACAUUAACUGACGCUGAGGCACGAAGGCCAGGGGAGCGAAAGGGAUUAGAUACCCUGGUAGUC